RNAcentral lists this non-coding RNA (28 nucleotides) under Mus musculus (house mouse). The record is from RNAcentral. Lineage: Eukaryota; Metazoa; Chordata; Mammalia; Rodentia; Muridae.
UGAUCACUGAGAGUGCCUUGAGGUGAUA